This 450-nucleotide ribosomal RNA is filed under the name uncultured bacterium. RNAcentral describes it as "partial 16S ribosomal RNA". It matches the Rfam family "Bacterial small subunit ribosomal RNA", at positions 354 to 796 of the family's 1533-position model. The record is from RNAcentral.
GUGGGGAAUAUUGCGCAAUGGGCGAAAGCCUGACGCAGCGACGCCGCGUGAGGGAUGAAGGUUUUCGGAUCGUAAACCUCUGUCAGAAGGGAAGAAACUACGUUGUGCUAAUCAGCAGCGUACUGACGGUACCUUCAAAGGAAGCACCGGCUAACUCCGUGCCAGCAGUCGCGGUAAUACGGAGGGUGCAAGCGUUAAUCGGAAUUACUGGGCGUAAAGCGCACGUAGGCUGUAGUGUAAGUCAGGGGUGAAAUCCCACGGCUCAACCGUGGAACUGCCUUUGAUACUGCACAACUUGAAUCCGGGAGAGGGUGGCGGAAUUCCAGGUGUAGGAGUGAAAUCCGUAGAUAUCUGGAGGAACAUCAGUGGCGAAGGCGGCCACCUGGACCGGUAUUGACGCUGAGGUGCGAAAGCGUGGGGAGCAAACAGGAUUAGAAACCCUUGUAGUCC